UGGGGUAGGAUCCGACGCCUCGCUGGAAGGCUAACAUAGGCUCUCCUACUCAACUCCCAUUCCGGCACGUCCACGUCGUGCAGAGCGGUCACAUGCGUUGCCAAGGGGUGCAAGGGCUGGUUGGUCCCUUUUCUUCUCUGGUCAAGAAGAAGCUGGUAACGCAUGGCCAAGCCGGAGGGAGGGGUAGUGAAGGAAGGAAGUCAAGGAAGAGAUGGGCCGCCUCUCCUUUUCUACUUCCAACACUGCCUAGCGGUUCCUGACGACCAAAGUGGGGUGGCUCGUGUCCCGGUCUCACUGCAAUUGGAAUAACGAUCGACCGAACGUCGGAACAUCCAUUGAAUACCUUUAAUCGUCUUUCUUUGCAAAGAUCAACAAGCAAGCAUAUUGGGUAGCAUAUCUGGGUAGCCUCAACUUUAGGUGAAAUCGAUACAAAGCUGAUGAUGUGCUGCUUCAAAAUCAAACUUAUAAAAACAUACCAGCUUCUAAUCCGCUUUCUGUGGCGCCUACCGGGAGUGUUGGUCUUGUGAAGUUGUUUGACAAUGAGUCGUCGGCCAUGAAGUAACAAUCACACCAUGAGUUCCUUGUAACUUGUAAAAAAUAUUUGCUAAAUAACACGAUGGUUAAGGAUUGAAACCAACUACCAUCAUAUCAUAUUCGUGCUUCAACACUUGAGCGGACCAAUUUUAAAUACCAGCUCAUCUGUAGUGUGCAUUUCAAGUGAUGGGCAUACGAAUAUUCUCCAUUCACUGGUUGAUCUAAAGAAACUGCCCCAGCCAGAAUCAUCAACCAGCAGUCUGAAACUUGGGAUGUCUAGUAUGUAAUCCAUCAUGAUCAAUCGACAAAACUACCAUUAUCAUCAAGAUUCGUCCAUUUCGUCCAUGACAAUACGCAGCUUCUUCGAGGGUAUGUACGCAUCUCACUCCUUUAGACUUAAUUUAGUUAUGGGGAGACAACAAAUUGUUUUAAUCAUCAUCAUGAUUAGAAGUUCUAGGUACAGGAUUUAGUUUAUGCAUAGCUCUUAAUCAUCAAGCGCCGUUGGGCAAAUUUAGUUUAAGGUUUCAAGUUUAAGGUAAUCGAAAACAAACCGAUCGACUUGUCUGUGGUAUUGAGCUAAAUCUAUUGCUUUCUGGUUGUUGUACAAUGACAACAAAGUGAUGCUUCUAGCACCAGCACAAAGCUCCGCUAUUACUGGAGAUUCAGGAAUGCUUCGAUUCAGAAUGCAACACCUUUUCGUAUAGCAAGCCACAUAAUUCACAUGCUUUUUGCAACAUUUGGAAUUCUUGGAGGAGUAUAAAUUGAACAAUUGUAUAUAAAAAUGGUAAACAAUAUAGAACAGGCGAUUCUCUAGGGCACAAGUUUUUCAAUUUCAAAUCAGCUUCAGAUUGCGUUCUUCUGCGUUAUAAUACAUCUUGUCCUUUUAAAGUGAGGCCAUGCUGCAGAUAAAAUAUCUAUUGCGUCCUGGGCAGUAGAACCAGUGCUGUCAUUGUGAUGGCUUAAAUCAUUACUAUUAUUCUAAGCAGCUGCUACAAGGGGGUUCCAAAGGAAACUUAAAUAUAUUCCUACCCUAGCGAGGUCUUGUUUGUGGCAAGCACUAUUGCCGUUGCAGAUCUGCCGUUUUGAUCUAUAGCCUCAUUCGAUUCUCUCUCUUCAAGAGGCUCUCUACUCAAGACUAAAUUGUAGACUUUUCUAUACCGCCGGUAAUGUUUGCGUUAUGCUUGAACAUUCCAUUGAGUUUUCCUGCAUUACAAUGCGUACGCUUUUCAACCACUUAAAUUUCACUCAUCAUCUCAUCAAACAAAUAUAAUUUCCGGUCGAUUCCGGCGUUCUUUAUCUGAAACAGUAGCGUUUUGGGAUGCUUUAUGUUCUCGUGAUACUCCUACUAUUAUACAUUUUUCACAAUCUGAUACCAAGAUGUAAUGACUCUUGAGCAUAGCCGUUGGUCAAACAUUUUACUAAAACAGUUCAUUGGCUUUGUUGCAAUUUUAGUAUAUGUCCAGCCGAAGCUAGAACUAGUCCACAAUUUACACUAGAGCUUCUCUAUGGCUCAUUCUGCCGAUGGUGAUGCCGUUGUUGGGUUUGGCAGCGAACGCUAAAUUGAAUAUAGCUGAGUGUAUUCACCUAAUUCCCUCACUUUUAUGUACAGGUACCGUGAGGCAUAGCCUAGCAGCUCAAGGAAUCGGCUAUUGUUGUCCUUUUCGUCAUCCUCGUCCAUUUCCGUUCAGCGCUUAUCGCCAUGUCCUACACACGGAUCACACAACACGUUUUUCUCACUAACCUGUUUUCAAAUCGAACCGCUUAACGAUGAUGGCGAGAUGAUCGUUUAGUUCGUUUGGUUGGUGUCCUGAACAGAAAAGUUGAGGAAAACAAACUCUUAAGGUGUGCAUGAGUACAUAGAAACAUUGUAACAUGAGUACAUAGAAACCUUCCAUAAGCGGGGGAAUGCUGCUUCGUUGGAAGAAGCAACAGCUGCUUAUGCGG
Long non-coding RNA from Anopheles stephensi (Asian malaria mosquito), 2478 nucleotides. RefSeq lists it as uncharacterized. NCBI's taxonomy places the organism in Eukaryota, Metazoa, Arthropoda, Insecta, Diptera, Culicidae. The transcript is spliced from 4 exons. The record is from RefSeq and is a predicted model, not a curated record.